AUACGUAGGAUGCAAGCGUUGUCCGGAAUUACUGGGCGUAAAGGGUCCGUAGGCGGUUUGUUAAGUCUUCUGUGAAAGUUCAGGGCUCAACCCUGAAAUGUCGGGGGAUACUGGCAAACUUGAGACUGUCAGAGGCAAGUGGAAUUCCCGGUGUAGUGGUGAAAUGCGUAGAUAUCGGGAGGAACACCAGUGGCGAAAGCGGCUUGCUGGGACAGUUCUGACGCUGAGGGACGAAAGCGUGGGGAGCAAACAGGAUUAGAAACCCCGGUAGUCC
RNAcentral lists this ribosomal RNA (274 nucleotides) under uncultured bacterium. RNAcentral describes it as "partial 16S ribosomal RNA". It matches the Rfam family "Bacterial small subunit ribosomal RNA", at positions 523 to 796 of the family's 1533-position model. The record is from RNAcentral.